Long non-coding RNA from Bradysia coprophila, 70 nucleotides. NCBI's taxonomy places the organism in Eukaryota, Metazoa, Arthropoda, Insecta, Diptera, Sciaridae. The record is from RefSeq and is a predicted model, not a curated record.
UAUAAUAACCAAAAAUAGAGAAACGGGUAUGCCACGUUAAGGGCCUUACUUAUUGUCAAAGUCAAAGAAA